RNAcentral lists this long non-coding RNA (3036 nucleotides) under Pavo cristatus (Indian peafowl). RNAcentral's name for it is "lncRNA (ENSPSTG00000005981.1)". Lineage: Eukaryota; Metazoa; Chordata; Aves; Galliformes; Phasianidae. The record is from RNAcentral.
CAGGAACCAGCUCAGAGCCGGCUCUUGGUUAUGUGCCAUGCUACCAGAACCCUGAACAAAAGACUGAAGUUUUAAAGUAAUAUGAUCAAAAAUCUCUUGGCAGGGAAGAUGCAACUGGCUGCUUUGACAUGUAGGUUAUUUAGCCGGGAAUUUAUGUGUCAAAAGCUUAAAAGCUUCACUGAAGCAAAUUUAAGAAAGCGCCAUGUAUCCAACUAAUUAAGUCAUGUCAGCCAACUAUGAUUUAUUUCUCACCAUCACUCAUGUCUACAGCAGAAUUAUCUCAUUUUUGAUUUCUAAUGACUUUCUCUCUCAUUAAUCUGACCAUGAAUUAUUUUUUAUAUAAGUCUUUGGCAUCGAAGCAAAGAAUUUUCUUUUUAAUAAGAGCAGCAUCCCUGGGUAAUUCUGUGGUGUGCGUGGGAGGGGGCAGGGAGCCGGGAGCCCACUGGGGCUUUGGGGCAGGGCUGUAGCCCUCUCCCAGCCGUCCUGGUGGGCUUUACCCCGCGUCUUCCUCAGGACCUCAGCUUGGCCCUACUCCCUUAGACCCCUCUUUUCUUCUGGUACAAAGUUGGGUUUUGGCUUUUGAAGGCGUUUUCCUGCGCUUUGCAGAUAAUUUUGUCAAGUGCCUUGCAAGCAACAAUUCUGACUCUUCUGAUUCCCAAAGCAUCCUGGCUCUUCUCAUGGAUGCAGACUAUUGCCAAGGCUUUAAAUUUGGUUCCUCCACCUGUUGUGUGUAACUUUGUCCCAGGCAUGUGUGUCUUGAUCAUUGGAAGUGUCACUCUUUCUGAUUUACUGCUUUUGUUUGCAUCUUUAUACAUAUGUAUGCGUGUGUAUAUAUGUAUAUGCACUAAUGAUUUGUUAUCUGAAGAGUAGCUCAUUUUCCAGUCCCUGGAGUUCCCAUAGACUGGAUGACACAUGCAGUUUGCAGCCAGCAUCCCAACUCUGACCCCAGACAGCUCCCAGAACCACAGAGCUUUCUAUUCUGCUGCUUACAGCCUUCAAGAGGAAUUAGAGUUACAGCUGGUAUGGAUUUACCACGAUCUUCCCAUCCAUGUUCUCCUGGAUAAUCAACCAGUCUCCGGUGCUGAAUUCCCAAAGCUGGGCUCAUGAAGGAGCAGGAAGGGAAGUGAGCAGAUUCAUCAUGCUCAUGUGGCUUCAGACCAUAAAGCAGGUGGACUCUGGUGGGUGACGUUUAACUGCAAAACUGAAAAGGCCCCAGGCAGCCCAACCUGGAUCCAGGGCUGCACUUUUUGUGGUAGGCUCAAAAGGCACCACGUUGUGAGUGACCUGCUGGAGGAUCAUAGAAUCACAAAGGUUGGGAAAGACCUCUAAGANAACUGAAUUAAAAUAAUUCAAUUUUUCUUAGCAAGUCUUGCAUCCGGUGCAGAAUAAUUGAUGGAAUCUCUCAGAUUGCCCAUUUUUCAGAGGCAUGGAAUGGCAGGCAGAACUACGCACGGGGCGCAAGGUAGCGAUUGAAGAGGAAUUUGACCUGCAUGCCUCCAGCUUGUCAGGAUUUGAAUCAGCUGCUCCCAACCUCAGGCAACACAAAGACUAUAGGUGAGUCAUUUUUAAGAUGUAUAGUAAGUGCAGAUUUUAGUUUAAAAUUCCCAUAUACUUACUGAGUGUUGCAUCUGGAUGUGCUGAGAGCUGAGCUCAGGUGAAGGGGUUGAGCAGCUCUUUACCCUGCUCCCACCUUGCCUGGGUCCCAUUCAAAGCCAGGUGCUCCUGAAAGAUAAGAGUGAAGGUUUUGGGAUAGGGUUCUGAAUGUAGAGAAGCAUUUUUCUCUGAAGGAGGGAAGCUGAAGUCUUCUGGUGGCUCUGGGGACCUCUGGAAGGAGGAGGCUCUUGGAGAGCUGGAAUGAUGUGAUGGAGAAGCAGGUGAGGCUGAAAGAUUGGUGCUAACGAUGGUGAUUUCUGGGGUGGAUUUACUUUUAUCUCUUGUGGGCAAGGUGCAAAAGUUGGGUGUGGAACUUGUAGAGAUGAGUCUGCUUCAACAAAGGUACUGAUGAGGUCAGUAGGGAGUUUGUGGUUGUUGGAUUUGGGACCAAAAUGAUCUGUUUGAGGUAACCCUGAAGACUGAGAUGCUUUUUGCUUGGGCCUGGCUUCAGGGAGAGAUCACUUCUUGAGUUUUCCCAUGUUUUCCCUGGGACUGGUGUGUGCUGUGUACCUCCCAUACCCAGCUACUGGUGGCCCUGGUUCCCAAGCCACCAGGGAACCACAAUUGGGAUUGCUUUGCUUCUCUUCCUCAAUUAUCUGUGUUUUUCUUCCCCUUCAAAAAAAUCUCAAUUAGCCACUAGAUCUGAAUUAAUAGCUUUAACUAAAGCCCUUCUUUAUUAUCCUCCAAUUUCUCUCUGUGGCUAAGAAUCACAGUGUUAACUCUUAAUGCAUAUAUUCAAAAAGGUAAUAACAGUAAAUUAGUAAUAAAUCCUUCAGGCGUUUCUAUGGGAGACAAGUGUUCGGCACCUUGUUUAAUGGUGUCUUUAUUGGAGGGAGGAAUCCCUGUGUCAAACAUUAGUGUUGACACCUUUGGCUGGGAUAAAACUUCACAUCCACCGUGAGUUUGCAGAGCUUUGGGCCAACCAAGAUUCCCCAGAGUGAGGGUGAUGUAAUUUCACUAAGAGGGAUAUUCCAGAUCCUUGCAGGGCCCCAUGCACUGAUUCACUGGGAGGGACCAACCGGUGUUGAAGAUGGGAUAGCUUGGUGAGGAGAGUUUAGAAACGGGGAGAUCAACCAACCUAUCAGCCCUAUUUACUGCUGCUUCCCUUUGUUUUCAACGGGUCACAAUCCAGUCCUCUGUGACUUCUAGACCCCGACUUCUGCCUUCACAAAUGGGAUUUAAAUAGGAUUGCUGAAGUCAGCCACUAUCGCUGUAACGAUUCAGCUCAGAACUGAAGAGCAUCCUUGAGGAAUAUUUGCAACUGUUUAUACAGUCAGCUAUAAUUGUGAGGCUUGAUUUAUGCUCAUUGAAGUCUUCUGAGGUGCUUGAUGAGAAGCACUGCAGCAGCAUAAAGUAUUUCUGGUUAUUCAGGCUGCUCACAGC